AAUUGACGGGGGCCCGCACAAGCGGAGGAACAUGUGGUUUAAUUCGAUGAUACGCGAGGAACCUUACCCGGGCUUAAAUUGCAGUGGAAUGAUGUGGAAACAUAUCAGUGAGCAAUCACCGCUGUGAAGGUGCUGCAUGGUUGUCGUCAGCUCGUGCCGUGAGGUGUCGGCUUAAGUGCCAUAACGAGCGCAACCCUUAUCUUCAGU
RNAcentral lists this ribosomal RNA (207 nucleotides) under Bacteroides fragilis. Its description in RNAcentral is "partial 16S ribosomal RNA". It matches the Rfam family "Bacterial small subunit ribosomal RNA", at positions 908 to 1115 of the family's 1533-position model. Lineage: Bacteria; Pseudomonadati; Bacteroidota; Bacteroidia; Bacteroidales; Bacteroidaceae. The record is from RNAcentral.